UUCGACUUGGCCAACGAAGCAGGGUACCAACCUCCGUUCCCAAAAAUAGCUGAUAACUUGUCAUCGCCCUUGGAGUAAGCAGGAAAAAAGAAAUUGGACAAGACAAAGACCCCCACAUCACAACCCACUUAUCUAUGCCUAAUCCGGGCACUUCCAAGCCUCGGAUGUGCCCCCACGGUGCUACUGCUUACAAGUUACACUGCACAUUCUGACGACUCCUCACGUAGUCCUCAGGUAGCAGUGCGUGGCGCUACCCAAAAUUAAUCCGAAACGCUUCUGUUCAGCCCGUUCAAGUCUUGGCAAUUAUGAAUAGAGCGACACGCCCGAAAACCACGGCCACAACGUGUCUCCCGAACAGAGUAAAAUGAAAGGUGAAGAUCAAUCAUAAAAAUCGAGGACGCGGUAAGAUUUCGCGACUAGAGAAUAUACAUUAGGGUAGUGGGGAUGUGACCGCGGGAAUGCUUAUCUCCGAAAUCACACAACAGACAUUUUCUCAGUCCGCGGGACAAACAACACGCGACGCGACGCCAAAAAAGAUGAUACGCCGUCAGAAAAAAAAAAGGAAAGGAGAGGAAAGGAAAGGCUGUGGGAAACCUGAGGUCCACUAGGGGAAAGGUCAAAGAUAUAAGAGCAUGUCGCACCAAAAACUCCAGUAAAAUUUGUUCCUCGGCCAUGGAAACUGGAAAUGACGAGAAGAAAGGAGAGAAAAUUCCCAUAAACCGUGUCAAGAGCCGGUUAUCCAAUUUGCAAUUUGUCCGUGAUGAUGAGAAUGAUAAGAAUCAUCGGCCGUAAGCGGCACAAGAAAAAUAUAUCACACAUUCAAGCAAGCUAACUCGGGGCGGAAAAAUACAAUCAAACAAACCAAAAGAGGG
RNAcentral lists this small RNA (872 nucleotides) under Histoplasma capsulatum var. duboisii H88. RNAcentral's name for it is "Histoplasma capsulatum H88 hypothetical RNA". Lineage: Eukaryota; Fungi; Ascomycota; Eurotiomycetes; Onygenales; Ajellomycetaceae. The record is from RNAcentral.